Myotis davidii is the source of this 448-nucleotide long non-coding RNA. RefSeq lists it as uncharacterized. The record is from RefSeq and is a predicted model, not a curated record. The transcript has 2 exons. NCBI's taxonomy places the organism in Eukaryota, Metazoa, Chordata, Mammalia, Chiroptera, Vespertilionidae.
CGCCGCCGGCAGAUUCGACACAGAAACCCGGAAGGACCCGGGAUCCUUCAGCCCCGAGGGGGCUGGUCCACUUGGGGCGUCGGGAGAGCCGGGAGGACUCGGUAGCCCCCGGCGAACAUCUGUGCACCGGGAUGCGUCAGGCCACCCCAAGAGGGUGGACACCCGAGGACGCAGUCCGUCCGAGACAUGCAGAAGGCAAGUCCCGCGUGUACACCGGCAUUGACACUCGCGCUGACCCGCGGGAAAACACACGCUGCGUCUCAUCUCUCGCCCCCCUGGGCUUUCCAGGGUCGUCAAACAUCAAGUCACGUAGGGACUUAGAUUCAGUGCUGCCCGAGCUCAGAGGAGAAAGCAGGCUAGAGAGGUAAUGAGGUUGGCAAAGUUAUAUGCAAAACUACUCUACAGAACAGAUAAUUUUUGACAGAGUGGAUGAAAUUAUUUCAAGAAA